ACCUACCGAAAGAGGACACAGUCAAAGGAUGAACCAUAUUACACCCACAGGCCCUGAGUCAGAAAGGGAGGCCACUGGUUCCAGGCAAGUCUGAAGAUUCCAUCCAUGAGAACAUGUCUUUCAAGAGCUGCAGACAAGGGAUGUGCUGCUGCUUCCUGUGCUGGGAUUAAAGGUGUGCACUGUGCCAAGCCAACUGAAUUUUCUAGCCUAGCUGAAAAAUUAUGAGGUGUGUAUGCUGGCUCCAAGAUUUGUUUGCAUCUUGCAUGCAGCAUUAGAAUGAAACGGGAGAUACUAUACAGGAGAAUACGUUACUGGGCUGGAGUAUAGCUAGAAGCAC
This is a long non-coding RNA of Myodes glareolus (Bank vole), 337 nucleotides long. RefSeq lists it as uncharacterized. Lineage: Eukaryota; Metazoa; Chordata; Mammalia; Rodentia; Cricetidae. The record is from RefSeq and is a predicted model, not a curated record.